Aedes albopictus (Asian tiger mosquito) is the source of this 74-nucleotide non-coding RNA. The record is from Rfam. Lineage: Eukaryota; Metazoa; Arthropoda; Insecta; Diptera; Culicidae.
UGUUCGGUGGCUCAAUGGGUUAAAGCGCGUGUCUAGCGAAUACGGAGUUGUGGGUUCGAAUCCCACCAGGGCGC